AUGGUACUACCUUGAGAGUGCUCAUCUGAUUCUCAUCUGAUUUUGGUAACUAAGCAAGAUUGGGCCUGGUUAGUACCAAGAUGGGAGACUGCUAGGAAUGCAGGUGCCAUG
RNAcentral lists this ribosomal RNA (111 nucleotides) under Periophthalmus magnuspinnatus. The record is from RNAcentral. Lineage: Eukaryota; Metazoa; Chordata; Actinopteri; Gobiiformes; Gobiidae.